This 460-nucleotide ribosomal RNA is filed under the name uncultured bacterium. Its description in RNAcentral is "partial 16S ribosomal RNA". It matches the Rfam family "Bacterial small subunit ribosomal RNA", at positions 338 to 795 of the family's 1533-position model. The record is from RNAcentral.
CCUACGUGAUGCUGCAGUGAGGAAUAUUGGUCAAUGGGCGCGAGCCUGAACCAGCCAAGUAGCGUGAAGGAUGACUGCCCUACGGGUUGUAAACUUCUUUUAUAAAGGAAUAAAGUGAGGCACGUGUGCCUUUUUGUAUGUACUUUAUGAAUAAGGAUCGGCUAACUCCGUGCCAGCAGCCGCGGUAAUACGGAGGAUCCGAGCGUUAUCCGGAUUUAUUGGGUUUAAGGGGAGCGUAGAUGGGUUGUUAAGUCAGUUGUGAAAGUUUGCGGCUCAACCGUAAAAUUGCAAUUGAUACUGGCAGUCUUGAGUACAGUUGAGGUAGGCGGAAUUCGUGGUGUAGCGGUGAAAUGCUUAGAUAUCACGAAGAACUCCGAUUGCGAAGGCAGCUUACUAAACUGCCACUGACAUUGAUGCUCGAAAGUGUGGGUAUCAAACAGGAUUAGAUACCCCUGUAGUC